GGGCGAUUGGGCGUUUGAUCAUGGCUCAGGACGAACGCUGGCGGCGUGCUUAACACAUGCAAGUCGAGCGGAAAGGCCCUUUUGGGGGUACUCGAGCGGCGAACGGGUGAGUAACACGUGAGUAAUCUGCCCUUCACUCUGGGAUAACUGCCUGAAAGGGUGGCUAAUACUGGAUGCGACCAACUGCUGCAUGGUGUGUUGGUGGAAAGGUUUUCUGGUGGGGGAUGUGCUCGCGGCCUAUCAGCUUGUUGGUGGGGUAAUGGCCUACCAAGGCUUUGACGGGUAGCCGGCCUGAGAGGGUGACCGGCCACACUGGGACUGAGACACGGCCCAGACUCCUACGGGAGGCAGCAGUGGGGAAUAUUGGACAAUGGGCGGAAGCCUGAUCCAGCAACGCCGCGUGAGGGAUGACGGCCUUCGGGUUGUAAACCUCUUUCAGCACAGACGAAGCGCCUGUGAAGGUGGUGACGGUAUGUGCAGAAGAAGCACCGGCCAACUACGUGCCAGCAGCCGCGGUAAUAG
RNAcentral lists this ribosomal RNA (522 nucleotides) under uncultured bacterium. Its description in RNAcentral is "bacterial SSU rRNA". It matches the Rfam family "Bacterial small subunit ribosomal RNA", at positions 1 to 526 of the family's 1533-position model. The record is from RNAcentral.